AUGGACGGUAGCAACAGGGAAGUCAGGAGAAAGGGAAGACUGGGCUGGUUUAUGUUAGGAAAAGCAGGGAGUUGCUCUUAAGAAGAAGUGAUCCCAAAAAGAAAAAGCUGCAGGUCAGAGGAGAGGCAAGGAGGAGUGAGCUUCAGGGAAGUUUGGGAAAGUUUCUAAAGAUGGGGAGCUAUAGAGCUAUCUCUCUGUGUUGAGUGGCACUAUAGGGGUGAAUGAUUCUGGUGAUUUUUAGAAAUGUGGCUGUGUGAUGUGAGUCAUCCUCCCCUUAGUCUAAGAGACUUCUGUACAGUUAUAUACAUUUUUCAUAUUUUUUUAGACAUUGGAUUAGCCUUUUUGCAAUGAAACUCUGUACUAUGAUUGGCCACAAUGGAAGCUGGAAAUAUUGGGCUACAGGAUGAAUAUGCUUUAAAACUACCAAUCCUUGACAACAUCAUAAUAGUUGGAAUGCAACAUCUAAGAGUUAGCAGCAGGAAAAUAAAAAAGGACUGAAAUGGGAGUCUGAAAGCUUACAAAUGACAGCGUGAUAUUGCUGGGUCAGUUUUCUCAUCUCUAAGCUCUUAAGUAUCUGAUAGGAGCCUGUGGAGAGGAGUGUCUGCUCUCCUCCUGGCCACUGGAGCCCAAGAUCACAAUGUACACACCUCCAUUUGUUGUGAGGAAUAGAACACCAGCACUUAAGUGAUUGUCCAAGCCAACAUAAUCACCAAAGCAAUAGCCUUGCAUAAUACUCUUGUCAAUACUCAGAUAUCAAGGGCCUUAAAAAAUGAAGGAAAGUAACUGGAAUGAAUACAAAUGCUUGCACCUAGAGAAGCCAAUCCAGAAUUGUUAGCUAACACUGCACUAAUUCCAUGGCUUGGCAAUUCUCUCAACAGGAGAGGAGGGGCUUAGGUUUCUGUAUUCCUCAAGACCCCGUAUGGCCUGGUGAACUUGGAGUUGAUCUAGGACCAAGUAUCCCAGCAUCCUGGACUGACGGCAUGAGCUGGUAUUUCUCUCUCCAGUUCAGAAAUCAGUGGCCAGUCAUUGUUACAGACUCAUCAUCUUCUUCUUCUUCCUGAGAACAUCUAACUCAAAAGAGCACUGCUGUGAAAUACUGUAGGAAAUGUGCAUGCAUUGAGUGCAUUUCAAAAGAACAGUCCUUCAGUUUCAACUAUUUUUAUAUUUGUAGUUGCUUAUCUAUGUACAUGCUUUAUCAUAUUGUGUUAUAAAUAUGGAAAGCCUUCAUUACCCAAGUGUAAUUUGUUUCUGAAAAAGUCCAUUUAAAAUUAAGCCACCUGUAACGUUCCCAGUGGGUUGUCAAAGAAAAACAGUACUAUAUCACAUCACAUAGGACUCAGCAACUAGGAAGAGAAAUACCAGUCAGGACAGAAUACUCAAGAGUAAAGAAGGCAUAUGACAACCUGAAUGCAACAACUAUAAGCACACUUAAGGAAACUCAGCAGUACAAAGAAAAUGUUUCUGGAGUUAGAAAGAAAAAUUAAAGUGAAGAAGAGGCUAACGUUUUUGAUAUUUGAAUUAGAGGCAUGGGUGAGCAAUGUAGAAAAAAAAAAUCCACCCAAAAUAGGAACAAAAUAUCACAGUAAGUACUGGAAAAAAGAUUAGCCUAGGAUUUUAUUCUGAAAAGAAAACGAAAUUGUUUUAAACCAUAGGAAAAUACAUUUAUGUUUUCUUGUUUGUGAAGAGUUCAGGAUAGAAUUGCC
Molecule: long non-coding RNA, 1703 nt
Organism: Callithrix jacchus (white-tufted-ear marmoset)
Lineage: Eukaryota; Metazoa; Chordata; Mammalia; Primates; Cebidae
Source: Ensembl